UGGGGUGUCGCCAAGUGGUAAGGCACGGGGUUUUGAUCUCCGCAUUCCCAGGUUCGAAUCCUGGCACCCCAGCUA
RNAcentral lists this transfer RNA (75 nucleotides) under Legionellales bacterium. RNAcentral's name for it is "tRNA-Gln". It matches the Rfam family "tRNA". Rfam says of the family: Transfer RNA (tRNA) molecules are approximately 80 nucleotides in length. Lineage: Bacteria; Pseudomonadati; Pseudomonadota; Gammaproteobacteria; Legionellales. The record is from RNAcentral.